UACGUAGGGUGCGAGCGUUGUCCGGAAUUAUUGGGCGUAAAGAGCUCGUAGGCGGUGUGUCGCGUCGGCCGUGAAAACCUGCAGCUUAACUGUGGGCUUGCGGUCGAUACGGGCAUCACUGGAGUUCGGCAGGGGAGACUGGAAUUCCUGGUGUAGCGGUGAAAUGCGCAGAUAUCAGGAGGAACACCGGUGGCGAAGGCGGGUCUCUGGGCCGAUACUGACGCUGAGGAGCGAAAGCUAGGGGAGCAAACGGG
Molecule: ribosomal RNA, 254 nt
Filed under: uncultured bacterium
Lineage: Bacteria
Description: partial 16S ribosomal RNA
Rfam family: Bacterial small subunit ribosomal RNA
Source: RNAcentral